CACGCCUUAAACGAUGGUCACUCGAUGUUGGCGAUAUACAGUCAGCGUCUGAGCGAAAGCAUUAAGUGACCCACCUGGGGAGUACGACCGCAAGGUUGAAACUCAAAGGAAUUGACGGGGCCCGCACAAGCGGAGGAGCAUGUGGUUUAAUUCGAUGAUACGCGAGGAACCUUACCUGGGCUCGAACGUGAGAUGACUUACUGUGAAAGCAGUAUUCCCUUCGGGGCGAUCUUACGAGGUGCUGCAUGGUUGUCGUCAGCUCGUGCCGUGAGGUGUCGGGCGUAAGUCCCAUAACGAGCGCAACCCUUAUCAUUAGUUGCCGUCAGGUAAUGCUGGGGACGUCUAAUGAAACUGCCUACGCAAGUAGU
Molecule: ribosomal RNA, 368 nt
Filed under: uncultured bacterium
Lineage: Bacteria
Description: bacterial SSU rRNA
Rfam family: Bacterial small subunit ribosomal RNA
Source: RNAcentral